Molecule: ribosomal RNA, 425 nt
Filed under: uncultured bacterium
Lineage: Bacteria
Description: partial 16S ribosomal RNA
Rfam family: Bacterial small subunit ribosomal RNA
Source: RNAcentral
GUGGGGAAUAUUGGGCAAUGGGCGAAAGCCUGACCCAGCAACGCCGCGUGAAGGAAGAAGGUCUUCGGAUCGUAAACUUCUAUCCUUGGUGAAGAUAAUGACGGUAGCCGAGAAGGAAGCCCCGGCUAACUACGUGCUAGCAGCCGCGGUAAUACGUAGGGGGCAAGCGUUGUCCGGAAUGAUUGGGCGUAAAGGGCGCGUAGGCGGCCUGGUAAGUCUGGAGUGAAAGUCCUGCUUUUAAGGUGGGAAUUGCUUUGGAUACUGUCGGGCUUGAGUGCAGGAGAGGUAAGUGGAAUUCCCGGUGUAGCGGUGAAAUGCGUAGAGAUCGGGAGGAACACCAGUGGCGAAGGCGACUUACUGGACUGUAACUGACGCUGAGGCGCGAAAGUGUGGGGAGCAAACAGGAUUAGAUACCCGUGUAGUCC